AGCCAAACCUGUCAGGGCAAUAAAAAUAUAUUAAAAAAAAAAACUACAUACAGGUGCUAAAAAUAAAGCCUCUUUUGCAACCCAGAACUCAUUGCUCAGUAUGAGUUUUGAUACAUAUAAGAAGGAACGUG
Molecule: small nucleolar RNA, 131 nt
Filed under: Myotis lucifugus (little brown bat)
Lineage: Eukaryota; Metazoa; Chordata; Mammalia; Chiroptera; Vespertilionidae
Description: Small nucleolar RNA SNORA40
Rfam family: Small nucleolar RNA SNORA40
About the family: The snoRNA ACA 40 belongs to the H/ACA family of snoRNAs and guides the pseudouridylation of 28S rRNA subunit at position U4565. NB This family has a high threshold value to exclude a large number of closely related sequences that do not appear to have conserved H and ACA boxes, and may be pseudogenes.
Source: Rfam by way of RNAcentral